CGCCUACAGAGCAAACACACACACACACACAAUAAAACACAAAGCUCGUAGAAAAUACACGUCAGAGCGGCGUUAAGGCGAGCAGAAAUAUAGACAAAGGUGUGGAAGAGGGAGGAACACAGCUAUCAGCAACAGAAGAAGAAUAAAGAAGGAUAAAGAAGAGUAAAAGUAGAAUAAAGAAGAAUAAAGUAGAAUAAAGAAGGAUAAAGAAGAAUAAAGAAGGAUAAAGAAGAGUAAAAAAGGAUAAAGAAGAAUAAAGAAGGAUAAAGAAGAGUAAAGAACAAAGAAUAAAGUAGAAUAAAGAAGGAUAAAGAAGAAUAAAGAAGGAUAAAGAAGAAUACAGAACAAAGAAGAAUAAAGUAGAAUAAAGAAGGAUAAAGAAGAAUAAAGGAGAGUAAAGAAUAAAGUAGAAUAAAGAAGGAUAAAGAAGAAUAAAGAAGGAUAAAGAAGAAUACAGAACAAAGAAGAAUAAAGUAGAAUAAAGAAGGAUAAAGAAGAAUAAAGGAGAGUAAAGAAUAAAGUAGAAUAAAGUAGCAAAAAGUAGAAUAAAGAAGGAUAAAGUAGAAUAAAGUAGAAUAAAGAAGAAUAAAGAA
Molecule: long non-coding RNA, 593 nt
Organism: Dicentrarchus labrax (European seabass)
Lineage: Eukaryota; Metazoa; Chordata; Actinopteri; Moronidae
Exons: 2
Source: RefSeq, a predicted model, not a curated record